UACGAAGGGGGCUAGCGUUGCUCGGAAUUACUGGGCGUAAAGGGCGCGUAGGCGGUGUGUCAAGUCAGGCGUGAAAGCCCCGGGCUCAACCUGGGAACCGCGCUUGAGACUGGCACGCUCGAGUUCGGGAGAGGAUGGUGGAAUUCCCAGUGUAGAGGUGAAAUUCGUAGAUAUUGGGAAGAACACCGAUGGCGAAGGCAGCCAUCUGGACCGACACUGACGCUGAGGCGCGAAAGCGUGGGGAGCAAACAGG
RNAcentral lists this ribosomal RNA (253 nucleotides) under uncultured bacterium. Its description in RNAcentral is "partial 16S ribosomal RNA". It matches the Rfam family "Bacterial small subunit ribosomal RNA", at positions 524 to 776 of the family's 1533-position model. The record is from RNAcentral.